Molecule: long non-coding RNA, 1322 nt
Filed under: Elaeis guineensis (African oil palm)
Lineage: Eukaryota; Viridiplantae; Streptophyta; Magnoliopsida; Arecales; Arecaceae
Description: long non-coding RNA (EGUI_LNC004881)
Source: RNAcentral
UCCAGAACUGGGUUUGGGUAAGUUAUGGGUCUUAACGUCAAAUACUAGGAGUUCCAUGCUCUCUUAUGUCUUGACUGCUCCAGCUUGGACAUAAGCUGAUUCUUGGAUUGCUAGUGUUUGGAGUAUUUAGAUCUGACCUAACAGCAUCCUGCUUGAGAAUGAAGAUAGGGAUGCAAAUCGGAUGGAUCGGAUUGGGUCAUAAGUGACCCCGAUCUGAUUUGAUUUUUUGAUCAGGUCUUAAUGUUGGAUUUAUAUUUAAUCCGGGUUGAGUCAGAUCAAAAUUUUUGAUCCAACGGGUCAUUCAGAUUGAGUUUAUAUAUAAUUCGGUUCCAAUCCAAAUAAUUUGGAUCUAGUUAGGUCUGGUUCAGGACCCAAUCAGAUUCUAGAUAUAUUAUACUUGCUCUAAUAAAUUCUAGACCUGGUUUUUAUGGCCUUACAUAAGACUAGCUCGAGCCAUAGUAUCUUUGAAAAUAGGUGCAAGAUCUCAAUCCGCAAAUAAAAUUGAGCUAUAUGAUGAUUCUGAUCGGAGUUCUGAAGUGCAAAAUUGAACAUAAAAAAUGUAUAAUAAUAAGCCAAACAACCAUAUUGCUAGUUGUUUGAAAUUGCUAAUCAUAAGCCAACAGAGGAAAAAUCCCUAGAAAGAUGGGAUAGUUUUAGAAGCAAGUCCCUAUAACAUGGCCUCAAUUGUGUUUCUAAUGAAAGAAAAACAACAAAUAUUUUAGCUAAACUGUCUUUUAGAUGGUAACAUAAGCUCACCAUAUCUUCACAAACACUAGGAUGUCUGGAUAUGUGAACGUUAAGUAUUGCCUAGCUACUUAUAAUUGUACAAUGUAUAUAAGUGAUAAUUUAUAACAUUCACCCAGUUUGUUGUGUCUAGAAGUAAAUAUAAAGCUGUAUCCUGUUAAGCCUUUAAUCAAAAUUAUAGUGAUACUAUCAAUAACAACCAUACUAAGAAAAAGGCCAAAAUUUGAGUUAUUUUACUCAACUCAAAGUCAGGAAAAUACAAACAUUCAGAUAAUUGCCAUUUCCAGCAAACCGAAGUGACUAAUUGAGGAACCAAUACGAGCCAUGUCUAGGGUUCGAGUCAUAGUCUUGGUUUUUGGUAUUGUAUCGGUGUGACAUGAGCCUCCAUUUCCAAUGUGCCAUUGCUGUAGUCCAUCUCAUUCAUGUCAUUGGCCUGAAGCAAGCAGUCGAAGGGGACUGACAUGGAUUAGUUUGCAAUUAAUGUCACUUGCUCAUAGUGGGAUGCAGGAUAACUUAGAAGAAGUAGGCAUAUUCUCUUGCUUUAGGUUCCUGAGGGUCCACUCUUUCACUAUCGGUAG